RNAcentral lists this ribosomal RNA (497 nucleotides) under uncultured bacterium. RNAcentral describes it as "partial 16S ribosomal RNA". It matches the Rfam family "Bacterial small subunit ribosomal RNA", at positions 28 to 507 of the family's 1533-position model. The record is from RNAcentral.
GAUGAACGCUGGCGGCGUGCCUAAUACAUGCAAGUCGAGCGAACAGACGAGGAGCUUGCUCCUCUGACGUUAGCGGCGGACGGGUGAGUAACACGUGGAUAACCUACCUAUAAGACUGGGAUAACUUCGGGAAACCGGAGCUAAUACCGGAUAAUAUAUUGAACCGCAUGGUUCAAUAGUGAAAGACGGUUUUGCUGUCACUUAUAGAUGGAUCCGCGCCGCAUUAGCUAGUUGGUAAGGUAACGGCUUACCAAGGCAACGAUGCGUAGCCGACCUGAGAGGGUGAUCGGCCACACUGGAACGGAGACACGGUCCAGACUCCUACGGGAGGCAGAAGUAGGGAAUCUUCCGCAAGGGGCGAAAGCCUGACGGAGCAAGGCCGCGGGAGUGAUGAAGGUCUUCGGAUCGUAAAACUCUGUUAUUAGGGAAGAACAAAUGUGUAAGUAACUAUGCACGUCUUGACGGUACCUAAUCAGAAAGCCACGGCUAACUACGUG